GACGAACGCUGGCGGCGUGCCUAACACAUGCAAGUCGAACGGAAAGGCUCGGUUUUUGUGGGGUUCUCAAGUGGCGCACAGGUGAGUAUCACGUGAGUGACCUGCCCUUUACUUUGGGGGAACUUAUGGAGACUGGGGUUAUUAUCGGGCAUGAGAUCCUGCUACAUGAUGGGUGUGGGUAAAAUGCGGUGGUUGAGGAUGGACAGGCGGGCUAGCGGCUUGUUGGUGGGGUAGUGGCUUACCAACGCUUUGACGGGUAGCCGGACUGAGAGGGUGACCGGCCACAUUGGGACUGAGGUACGGCCAAGAGUCCUACUGGAGGCAGCGGUGGGAAACUUUGCACAAUGGGCGGAAGCCUGAUGCAGCGACUCCGGGUGCGAGAUGACGGCCUGUGGGUUAUAAACCGCGUGCGACUGUGACGAACCGCGAGUGACGGUAAUGGGUAAAGAAGCAACGGCUAACUACGUG
Molecule: ribosomal RNA, 468 nt
Filed under: uncultured bacterium
Lineage: Bacteria
Description: partial 16S ribosomal RNA
Rfam family: Bacterial small subunit ribosomal RNA
Source: RNAcentral